CCUCCGUUGGUGAACCAGCGGAGGGAUCAUUACCGAGUUUACAACUCCCAAACCCUUAUGUGAACCGUACCUAUCGUUGCUUCGGCGGGAACGCCCCGGCGCCCUGCGCCCGGAUCCAGGCGCCCGCCGGAGACCCCAAACUCUUGUGUUUUUUUCAGUAUUCUCUGAGUGGCAAACGCAAAAAUAAAUCAAAACUUUUAACAACGGAUCUCUUGGCUCUGGCAUCGAUGAAGAACACAGC
RNAcentral lists this unclassified non-coding RNA (241 nucleotides) under plant metagenome. RNAcentral describes it as "partial contains small subunit ribosomal RNA, internal transcribed spacer 1, and 5.8S ribosomal RNA". The stretch from base 193 to 241 matches the Rfam family "5.8S ribosomal RNA", at positions 1 to 49 of the family's 154-position model. The record is from RNAcentral.